GAUAAACGCUGGCGGCGCACAUAAGACAUGCAAGUCGAACGAACUUAAUCUUUUAGUUUACUAUUAGAAGCGGUUAGUGGCGGACUGGUGAGUAACGCGUAAGCAAUCUGCCUAUCAGAGGGGAACAACAGUGAGAAAUCACUGCUAAUACCGCAUAUGCUGUGAGUACGGCAUCGUACAAACAGGAAAGGAGCAAUCCGCUGAUAGAUGAGCUUGCGUCUGAUUAACUAGUUGGUGAGGUAACGGCCCACCAAGGUGAUGAUCAGUAGCCGGACUGAGAGGUUAAACGGCCACAUUGGGACUGAGAUACGGCCCAGACUCC
Molecule: ribosomal RNA, 322 nt
Filed under: uncultured Oscillospiraceae bacterium
Lineage: Bacteria; Bacillati; Bacillota; Clostridia; Eubacteriales; Oscillospiraceae
Description: bacterial SSU rRNA
Rfam family: Bacterial small subunit ribosomal RNA
Source: RNAcentral